UACGGGGGGGAGCAAGCGUUGUUCGGAUUUACUGGGCGUAAAGGGCGCGUAGGCGGCGUGACAAGUCACUUGUGAAAUCUCCGGGCUUAACCCGGAGCGGUCAAGUGAUACUGUCGUGCUAGAGUGCGGAAGGGGCUACUGGAAUUCUCGGUGUAGCGGUGAAAUGCGUAGAUAUCGAGAGGAACACCUGCGGCGAAGGCGGGUAGCUGGGCCGACACUGACGCUGAUGCGCGAAAGCCAGGGGAGCGAACGGG
This 254-nucleotide ribosomal RNA is filed under the name uncultured bacterium. RNAcentral's name for it is "partial 16S ribosomal RNA". It matches the Rfam family "Bacterial small subunit ribosomal RNA", at positions 524 to 776 of the family's 1533-position model. The record is from RNAcentral.